UACAGAGGGUGCGAGCGUUAAUCGGAAUUACUGGGCGUAAAGGGCGCGUAGGUGGUUAAUUAAGUCAGAUGUGAAAUCCCUGGGCUUAACCUAGGAAUUGCAUAUGAAACUGGUUGGCUAGAGUUUGGGAGAGGGAAGUGGAAUUUCCGGUGUAGCGGUGAAAUGCGUAGAUAUCGGAAGGAACACCAGUGGCGAAGGCGACUUCCUGGCCCAAUACUGACACUGAGGCGCGAAAGCGUGGGGAGCGAACAGG
This 253-nucleotide ribosomal RNA is filed under the name uncultured bacterium. Its description in RNAcentral is "partial 16S ribosomal RNA". It matches the Rfam family "Bacterial small subunit ribosomal RNA", at positions 524 to 776 of the family's 1533-position model. The record is from RNAcentral.